This 115-nucleotide transfer RNA is filed under the name Caudoviricetes sp. RNAcentral's name for it is "tRNA-Gln". It matches the Rfam family "tRNA". Rfam says of the family: Transfer RNA (tRNA) molecules are approximately 80 nucleotides in length. Their secondary structure includes four short double-helical elements and three loops (D, anti-codon, and T loops). Further hydrogen bonds mediate the characteristic L-shaped molecular structure. tRNAs have two regions of fundamental functional importance: the anti-codon, which is responsible for specific mRNA codon recognition, and the 3' end, to which the tRNAs corresponding amino acid is attached (by aminoacyl-tRNA synthetases). tRNAs cope with the degeneracy of the genetic code in two manners: having more than one tRNA (with a specific anti-codon) for a particular amino acid; and 'wobble' base-pairing, i.e. permitting non-standard base-pairing at the 3rd anti-codon position. Lineage: Duplodnaviria; Heunggongvirae; Uroviricota; Caudoviricetes. The record is from RNAcentral.
GGGUGAUUAGCUCAGUCAGGUAGAGCGGCGCAAAUUGGUUUUGUGUGUUUCCCAUAGUUUAUAAAGGUUAGUUAGUUAUUGCGCAGGUCACGGCGUUCAAGUCCCGUAUCACCCA